This is a non-coding RNA of Vicia faba (fava bean), 306 nucleotides long. NCBI's taxonomy places the organism in Eukaryota, Viridiplantae, Streptophyta, Magnoliopsida, Fabales, Fabaceae. The record is from the annotation of a GenBank genome assembly.
AUGGAAACGACUACAGAAGAAAAGAUAUCAAAUGAUAGAGGCAUUACGGUCUCCUCGAGCUUCUACGUAAGGAGGUUUCUGCACUACCACUCUACCAUUGAUGGUCAUCCUCAUCUACCCCAAAGCAUGCCUCCAUAUUGUAGUAGAGCUUACAAUGAAUUCCUCCUCAUCAAGUUUCAAUCCAAUGUCCUCCAAGAUUUUCGUUACUAUAUCAUAAUAUGGCAACCGCAAAAUCCCCUUUCUUCGACUUUCCAUCAUGUGAUAGAUGACCUUGCUUGCCCAAUUGACUUCAACUUUAUUUGCUAG